AGUGAACGCUGGCGGUAGGCCUAACACAUGCAAGUCGAACGGCAGCACAGUAAGAGCUUGCUCUUACGGGUGGCGAGUGGCGGACGGGUGAGGAAUACAUCGGAAUCUACUUUUUCGUGGGGGAUAACGUAGGGAAACUUACGCUAAUACCUCAUACGACCUACGGGUGAAAGCAGGGGAUCCUCGGACCUUGCGCGAUUUAAUUAGCCGAUGUCGGAUUAGCUAGUUGGCGGGGUAAAGGCCCACCAAGGCGACGAUCCGUAGCUGGUCUGAGAGGAUGAUCAGCCAAACUGGAACUGAGACACGGUCCAGACUCCUACGGGAGGCAGCAGUGGGGAAUAUUGGACAAUGGGCGCAAGCAUGAUCCAGCCAUACCGCGUGGGUGAAGAAGGCCUUCGGGUUGUAAAGCCCUUUUGUUGGGAAAGAAAAGCAGCAGGUUAAUACCCCGCUGUUCUGACGGUACCAAAAGAAUAAGCACCGGCUAACUUCGUG
This 492-nucleotide ribosomal RNA is filed under the name uncultured bacterium. Its description in RNAcentral is "partial 16S ribosomal RNA". It matches the Rfam family "Bacterial small subunit ribosomal RNA", at positions 29 to 507 of the family's 1533-position model. The record is from RNAcentral.